Molecule: unclassified non-coding RNA, 329 nt
Filed under: soil metagenome
Description: partial contains 5.8S ribosomal RNA, internal transcribed spacer 2, and large subunit ribosomal RNA
Rfam family: 5.8S ribosomal RNA (bases 1-120)
Source: RNAcentral
GAUGAAGAACGUAGCGAAAUGCGAUAAGUAAUGUGAAUUGCAGAAUUCAGUGAAUCGUCGAAUCUUUGAACGCACAUUGCGCCCCUUGGUAUUCCGAGGGGCAUGCCUGUUCGAGCGUCAUUAUAACCCCUCAAGCUCAGCUUGGUGUUGGGGCCUGCUGCACUGGCAGCCCUUAAAAUCAGUGGCGGCGCCAUCUGGCUCUAAGCGUAGUAAUUCUUCUCGCUAUGGAGUCCUGGUGGAUGCUUGCCAUCAACCCCCAAUUUUUCUAUGGUUGACCUCGGAUCAGGUAGGGAUACCCGCUGAACUUAAGCAUAUCAAUAAGCGGAGGA